This 848-nucleotide ribosomal RNA is filed under the name uncultured bacterium. RNAcentral's name for it is "bacterial SSU rRNA". It matches the Rfam family "Bacterial small subunit ribosomal RNA", at positions 51 to 895 of the family's 1533-position model. The record is from RNAcentral.
CUACCUGCAGUCGAGCGGUAGAGAGGAGCUUGCUUCUCUUGAGAGCGGCGGACGGGUGAUCAUUUGAAGAGGAUCUGCCUAGUGGUGGGGGAUAACGUUCGGACUUGGACGCUAAUACCGCAUACGUCCUGCGGGAGAAAGCGGGGGAUCUUCGGACCUCGCGCCAUUAGAUGAGCCUAGGUCGGAUUAGCUAGUUGGUGAGGUAAUGGCUCACCAAGGCGACGAUCCGUAACUGGUCUGAGAGGAUGAUCAGUCACACUGGAACUGAGACACGGUCCAGACUCCUACGGGAGGCAGCAGUGGGGAAUAUUGGACAAUGGGCGAAAGCCUGAUCCAGCCAUGCCGCGUGUGUGAAGAAGGUCUUCGGAUUGUAAAGCACUUUAAGUUGGGAGGAAGGGUAGUAACCUAAUACGUUGCUACUUUGACGUUACCGACAGAAUAAGCACCGGCUAACUUCGUGCCAGCAGCCGCGGUAAUACGAAGGGUGCAAGCGUUAAUCGGAAUUACUGGGCGUAAAGCGCGCGUAGGUGGUUCAGUAAGUUGGAAGUGAAAUCCCCGGGCUCAACCUGGGAACUGCUUUCAAAACUGCUGAGCUAGAGUACGGUAGAGGGUGGUGGAAUUUCCUGUGUAGCGGUGAAAUGCGUAGAUAUAGGAAGGAACACCAGUGGCGAAGGCGACCACCUGGACUGAUACUGACACUGAGGUGCGAAAGCGUGGGGAGCAAACAGGAUUAGAUACCCUGGUAGUCCACGCCGUANACGAUGUCAACUAGCCGUUGGAAUCCUUGAGAUUUUAGUGGCGCAGCUAACGCAUUAAGUUGACCGCCUGGGGAGUACGGCCGCAAGGUU